GCCAGGUAGGCUCAGUUGGUUAGAGCACUGUCCUGAUGCACCAAGGUUGUGGGUUCAAUCCCCACAUGUGGGG
Non-coding RNA from Myotis lucifugus (little brown bat), 73 nucleotides. NCBI's taxonomy places the organism in Eukaryota, Metazoa, Chordata, Mammalia, Chiroptera, Vespertilionidae. The record is from Rfam.